This 72-nucleotide transfer RNA is filed under the name Microcaldota archaeon. RNAcentral describes it as "Candidatus Micrarchaeota archaeon (hot springs metagenome) tRNA-Thr". It matches the Rfam family "tRNA". From Rfam's summary of the family: Transfer RNA (tRNA) molecules are approximately 80 nucleotides in length. Their secondary structure includes four short double-helical elements and three loops (D, anti-codon, and T loops). Lineage: Archaea; Nanobdellati; Microcaldota. The record is from RNAcentral.
GCCUCCGUAGCUCAGUGGUAGAGCGAUCGCCUUGUAAGCGAUAGGUCGCGAGUUCAAUCCUCGCCGGAGGCU